Molecule: ribosomal RNA, 521 nt
Filed under: uncultured Propionibacterium sp.
Lineage: Bacteria; Bacillati; Actinomycetota; Actinomycetes; Propionibacteriales; Propionibacteriaceae
Description: partial 16S ribosomal RNA
Source: RNAcentral
CACGUAGUUAGCCGGUGCUUCUUUACCCAUUACCGUCACUCACGCUUCGUCACAGGCGAAAGCGAUUUACAACCCGAAGGCCGUCAUCCCGCACGCGGCGUUGCUGCAUCAGGCUUCCGCCCAUUGUGCAAUAUUCCCCACUGCUGCCUCCCGUAGGAGUCUGGGCCGUAUCUCAGUCCCAAUGUGGCCGGUCACCCUCUCAGGCCGGCUACCCGUCAAAGCCUUGGUAAGCCACUACCCCACCAACAAGCUGAUAAGCCGCGAGUCCAUCCCCAACCGCCGAAACUUUCCAACCCCCACCAUGCAGCAGGAGCUCCUAUCCGGUAUUAGCCCCAGUUUCCUGAAGUUAUCCCAAAGUCAAGGGCAGGUUACUCACGUGUUACUCACCCGUUCGCCACUCGAGCACCCCACAAAAGCAGGGCCUUUCCGUCGACUUGCAUGUGUUAAGCACGCCGCCAGCGUCGUCCUGUAGCCGAGGAUACGAAACUCUCUGAGACUCGACCACGGCACACGAGGGAACG